Acanthosepion pharaonis is the source of this 99-nucleotide non-coding RNA. NCBI's taxonomy places the organism in Eukaryota, Metazoa, Mollusca, Cephalopoda, Sepiida, Sepiidae. The record is from the annotation of a GenBank genome assembly.
CAUUGAAACACCAGUUCUCAUACAAUCACCAAAGUUAAGCAAUAUUAAGCCUAGUCAGUACCUAGAUGGGUGGCCGCUUGGGAAUGCCAGUUGCUGUGA